ACGACGCUGGCGGCGUGGAUUAGGCAUGCAAGUCGAACGGUAUCAUCCUUUCGGGGGUGAGAGAGUGGCGAACUGGUGAGUAACACGUAGGUUAUCUACCUCAAGACGGGGACAACCCAGGGAAACUUGGGCUAAUACCGGAUGUGAGCAACUUUUAGUUGUUUGAAAGGUGGCGUAAGCUGUCGCUUGGGGAUGAGCCUGCGUCCUAUUAGUUAGUUGGUGAGGUAACGGCUCACCUAGGCAAUGAUAGGUAGGCGGCCUUAACGGGUGGUCGCCCACACUGGGAUUGAGAUACGGCCCAGACUCCUACGGGAGGCAGCAGUCGAGAAUAGUCUACAAUGGUCGGAAGACUGAUAGUGCGACGCCGCGUGAACGAUGAAUCCCUUCGGGGUGUAAAGUUCUUUUAUAUGUGAGCAGUGCUUCUUAUAUUAACAGUAUGGGGAGAGAGAUAUUAGCAUAUGAAUAAGCAACGGCUAACUCCGUG
This 484-nucleotide ribosomal RNA is filed under the name uncultured bacterium. Its description in RNAcentral is "bacterial SSU rRNA". It matches the Rfam family "Bacterial small subunit ribosomal RNA", at positions 33 to 507 of the family's 1533-position model. The record is from RNAcentral.